This 371-nucleotide small RNA is filed under the name Vigna angularis var. angularis. RNAcentral's name for it is "Non-protein coding transcript". Lineage: Eukaryota; Viridiplantae; Streptophyta; Magnoliopsida; Fabales; Fabaceae. The record is from RNAcentral.
AGCAGAAACUGAUCUUUGGUACCUUUGGCUUUGAACUUUCUUAUUGUUCACGAAGUGCAAUUGUGCAAAGAAAGUGAAAACCACGUGAAAUACCCUUAUCUUUUCAGAGAAAAAGAAGCUCCUUAUCUGGAACUCAAGCAGUCACAUUCUGCAUUAGUUUCCACAUCAUAAACUCCGAGAAUUCAACGAAUGAAAAAACCCAUGUUCUUUUUUGUGGCUACAAAUUCAUUGUGACAAAGUUGAUGGAUAAAGCUAGCCAAUUAAGGAAUCACAAGAGUAUGGAAAAUAGCUGAGGAAGGAAUGCCAUGGAUUGCAGAGAUCAAUACACCAUAAAGAGAAGCCAUGAUAAAGUUUAAUUUACAAUAAUAAAU